GAUCAUGGCUCAGGAUGAACGCUAGCUACAGGCUUAACACAUGCAAGUCGAGGGGAAACGACAUCGAAAGCUUGCUUUUGAUGGGCGUCGACCGGCGCACGGGUGAGUAACGCGUAUCCAACCUGCCCACCACUUGGGGAUAACCUUGCGAAAGUAAGACUAAUGCCCAAUGAUAUCCCACGAAGGCAUCCGAAUGGGAUUAAAGAUUUAUCGGUGAUGGAUGGGGAGUGCGUCUGAUUAG
This 241-nucleotide ribosomal RNA is filed under the name uncultured bacterium. RNAcentral describes it as "partial 16S ribosomal RNA". It matches the Rfam family "Bacterial small subunit ribosomal RNA", at positions 15 to 244 of the family's 1533-position model. The record is from RNAcentral.